GAACGCUGGCGGCGUGCCUAAUACAUGCAAGUCGAGCGAACAGACGAGGAGCUUGCUCCUCUGACGUUAGCGGCGGACGGGUGAGUAACACGUGGAUAACCUACCUAUAAGACUGGGAUAACUUCGGGAAACCGGAGCUAAUACCGGAUAAUAUAUUGAACCGCAUGGUUCAAUAGUGAAAGACGGUUUUGCUGUCACUUAUAGAUGGAUCCGCGCCGCAUUAGCUAGUUGGUAAGGUAACGGCUUACCAAGGCGACGAUGCGUAGCCGACCUGAGAGGGUGAUCGGCCACACUGGAACUGAGACACGGUCCAGACUCCUACGGGAGGCAGCAGUAGGGAAUCUUCCGCAAUGGGCGAAAGCUUGACGGAGCAACGCCGCGUGAGUGAUGAAGGUCUUCGGAUCGUAAAACUCUGUUAUUAGGGAAGAACAAAUGUGUAAGUAACUAUGCACGUCUUGACGGUACCUAAUCAGAAAGCCACGGCUAACUACGUG
This 494-nucleotide ribosomal RNA is filed under the name uncultured bacterium. RNAcentral describes it as "partial 16S ribosomal RNA". It matches the Rfam family "Bacterial small subunit ribosomal RNA", at positions 31 to 507 of the family's 1533-position model. The record is from RNAcentral.